CAGGCACUGUAAUCACUCACCUGAUUUUUGGUUCUAUGAAGAUGCUUUUUUAUGCAGAUAGUUUUUCGAUUUGGUGUUCUUCCUGUGGGGAAUGACUGCCAGAGAGUUCCAUUUGGCUAUCUUGCUUCACUUCCUUUAGAAAACAAGAAGAAAAAGAAAAAAACCUUGAGGCAUUUCAGCAAAUCAUCUAAAUUUGCUGAAUCUAAUGGUGGUUGGAGUGAAGCACCUGUGACUGAAGAUGAGUCACUUAGAUUGUUGAAGAGUAAUUAUUUAUUUGGUCCUUGUGUGAAAGAGGACA
Molecule: long non-coding RNA, 298 nt
Filed under: Homo sapiens (human)
Lineage: Eukaryota; Metazoa; Chordata; Mammalia; Primates; Hominidae
Description: HSALNT0180735
Source: RNAcentral